GCGGGUGUGGUGGAAUUGGCAGACACGUAUGAUUCAGGUUCAUAUGCCCACAAGCAUGCAGGUUCAAGUCCUGUCACCCGCACCA
Molecule: transfer RNA, 85 nt
Filed under: Negativibacillus sp.
Lineage: Bacteria; Bacillati; Bacillota
Also listed under: 1 other name
Description: tRNA-Leu
Rfam family: tRNA
About the family: Transfer RNA (tRNA) molecules are approximately 80 nucleotides in length. Their secondary structure includes four short double-helical elements and three loops (D, anti-codon, and T loops).
Source: RNAcentral